AGGAUACCAGGAGUAUGCCGUUGCUACUUCUCUCUCUUCUUGAGUGUAAACAAGAUAGUUCUGCCACCCUGAUCAGUAAUUCAGUUUUCCUUGUAAGGUAAUUCUUAUAUCGAUAAUGUAGAGUGUUAUGAAUACAAUGGAUAAGCUGAGAGUAAAGAGUUUUCCCCUCUUCAUUCUGCGUCAAUAAACACUAUGGACUAUUCAGGCAGCUUGUACUGUUGCAAAGGAUGAUUUUAGAUCGAAAGCAAAGCAAACUGUGGUCAGCUUCUUCCAGGCAACCAAAUACUUCUGAGUAGCAUCUGUCAAGCUGCAAAGGUUGCAUCAAGCCUACUCCAAAUGAUAAACCAUAAUCCCAUAACUAAAAUAAUGCCAUCCUCUGUAAGCAGGAAGUGGCUGCCAGUAAGAAAAGAGGCAGAGCACACCCACUUCAUGGUCACCUCCCUUCUCAGCA
This is a long non-coding RNA of Schistocerca piceifrons (Central American locust), 451 nucleotides long. RefSeq lists it as uncharacterized. The record is from RefSeq and is a predicted model, not a curated record. NCBI's taxonomy places the organism in Eukaryota, Metazoa, Arthropoda, Insecta, Orthoptera, Acrididae. The transcript is spliced from 3 exons.